RNAcentral lists this transfer RNA (72 nucleotides) under Cricetulus griseus (Chinese hamster). It matches the Rfam family "tRNA". From Rfam's summary of the family: Transfer RNA (tRNA) molecules are approximately 80 nucleotides in length. Their secondary structure includes four short double-helical elements and three loops (D, anti-codon, and T loops). The record is from Rfam by way of RNAcentral. Lineage: Eukaryota; Metazoa; Chordata; Mammalia; Rodentia; Cricetidae.
UCCCUGAUGGUCUAGUGGUUAGGAUUUGGCGCUCUCACCGCUGCAGCCUGGGUUUGAUUCUCAGUCAGGGGA